RNAcentral lists this ribosomal RNA (592 nucleotides) under Antennella similis. RNAcentral's name for it is "partial 16S ribosomal RNA". Lineage: Eukaryota; Metazoa; Cnidaria; Hydrozoa; Leptothecata; Halopterididae. The record is from RNAcentral.
ACCAACCUUCAAUAACUGCUGCAUUAUUAGGAUAACUUAAUUCAACAUCGAGGUGUCAAACUUCAUCUUCGAUACCAUCUCUAAGAUAAAAUAAACCUGUUAUCCCUAAAGUAGCUUUUAUUUAUUAAAUGUUAUUUCUUUUUUGUGAAGAUAACAGGUCAUUUUUUUCUACUUUGUAAUUGUUAAAUUGAUAAAUUAAACAAAAAUUUUUUAUGUUAAAAAUCACAUUUUUUAAUUUUAAAAUGUUGUUGCCCCAACCAAACUACCUAUUGUAAAAAAAAACUUCAUCAAUCGAAUAAUUGAUAAAAUGCUUUACAACAAUAGUUAAGCUUUUAGGGUCUUCUCGUCUUACAGUUUUAAAUAGCAUCUUCACUAUUAUUUAAAUUUCUUGUUCUUAUAUUUAAGACAGUAGAAACAUCGUAAAACCAUUCACCUACGUUCAUCAAUUAAAUGACAAUUUAUUUUCCUACAUUAUUACCGUCAGGGAUACAGCAGCCGUUAAGUUUUAUAAAAAGAUCUUUCUUUUGUUUUCAAAACCACCGGGCAGGUCUCACCUUUUAAAAGAAAGAGAAAAGGCUAUGUUUUUGGUAAA